Molecule: long non-coding RNA, 1424 nt
Organism: Sander lucioperca (pikeperch)
Lineage: Eukaryota; Metazoa; Chordata; Actinopteri; Perciformes; Percidae
Source: Ensembl
CUCUCACAGGGAGAAGAUGAUCUGCAGCAUCCUGCUGCUCAUCAUCCUGACCUCCUGUGUCUCUGGAACAUUUGUAGUGAAUGUGACCCAGACCUCCUAUCAGGCAGAGGAGAACCACGACAUCACACUGGAGUGGACCUUCACAACCAACCCUCACAGUUCCUCCAACUCUCUUAAUAUCUUCUGUGAACUGUUAACUGAUCUCAGACCCUCAGUCCUGUUUCAUCUCCAUGAAGGAGUUGAGGUCCCAGAGUCUCAGGAUGAACAGUUUGCAGGACGAGUCCAGUGGGACAAAGACGUCCUCAGAGAAGGACGACUCAGACUUCAUGUGUCCAGACUCAGGACUGAAGACUCGGGACUGUACAAGUGUGUAGUAAUCACAAGUCAAGGGAGUAACUCUGGUAGAUGUUGGCUCAAUGUCACUGCAGCUGCUGAUGAGCCAAAACCUCAGAGACCAACAGUGAGACCAGAACCAGAGAGUCUGGGAAACAUCUGGAUCUACGCUGGACUGUCAUUAGGAGCAGCAGCAGUGGCAGUUCUACUGAUUCUCUACCUGAAACGCCUCUUUGUCUUCAAUUGUUGUUUUAAAUGUAUUAAUAAGAAAAGAAACAUAUAUUCAGCCGUACAGACGUCGAGUUUAUCAGAGAAAGGAGCCAUCAGGACUAAUAGAACUCAGUCUGGAGGACCCUCUUUAAAUGAGUCAUCAGAACAUAAAGUCACAGUCAUAAAAACUAAAUCAGACUCCUAGAGUCUCUCCUCCUUCUGUUCUUAGUGUCAGAAAACUAUUUGUGAUAUCAAAUGUUAUAUUUUUAUAUUUUAAAUGAUGUUCAUGUUACUACAGGUUUGAGUUUAAAUGAAGAUGACAUGUUACAUCAUGUUUUGUCUUCUUCUAGUUGUGUAAUUACUUGCAUCAAUAUAUUAUGUCAUAUGUUACUUGUAAUGUUCUCUCUAUUAUUACCUGUCUAGGCACCACUGAUGUAAAUUAGCAUUAAUGCUAACUCCAGCAUGUUUACAUCUUGAUGUUCAUUAACGAGCUCUGUCCAUGUUCAGUUACUAUGAAUUUAAAUUAAGUUAUGACAGCAGAAAUGACUAAUGUCUGUAAUAAAGCUUUCAUUGAGUAAAUGUUUUGUAGCUUUUAAGGAAUCAAGGAAAUAAACUUGGUGACCUUUGUUACAAUAAAAUAAAUGAAAAUGACCACAGUUUAUGUUUUUCAUCAGGUAGUGUUUCAGUUCUACGUCGAUUGAGACUAAAUGCAAAAACAGACUUUUUUUACCUUCAAUGUAAAAUAUUUGUAAUCCAGAAGAGUCAGAGAAAAUAAUGUUGCUGCUGAAACAUCUGAGAUAUGAUUUGGUGUUUUACUACAACAGAAAAAGGAAAUGAAGUGAAUCAAAUUUGGUAAAUUACAGCAAAUAAAGAAAUCACAC